Molecule: long non-coding RNA, 626 nt
Filed under: Malus domestica (apple)
Lineage: Eukaryota; Viridiplantae; Streptophyta; Magnoliopsida; Rosales; Rosaceae
Description: long non-coding RNA (MDOM_LNC015955)
Source: RNAcentral
AAAUAUUUUCUUGCUUUCUCUUUUUCUUGCGGGGUUUUAGUUGCACUCCAAAUUUAUUUAAUUCCCUGCUUGACGCUGACUUAAAUAGGUUUUGGUGUCAAUUACAUUCCAUUUCCUAGAAGAAUUUAAAUUCCAAUUAAAAAAAAAAAAGGAAUCUACCUCAAAUUGGGACACAAACUCCAUUGUAGCUUUGGAUUCCUACACCUUCUGCCCUUUCCUGCAAGCAGCCCAACAUGUGUAGGGGCAUUUGUGGAGCAAAAAAUAUUCCCAAAAAUCAUGGAGUUGACACGUGGAUUAUUCCCCAAGAAAAACAAGACUGCCCCUAUUAAAUGAGUUAGGAGCAGUCUCAUUCACCACUCGCAACUGAGGUAGAGCAGGCAGAGAUCAACGACUGCUCAAGACACCCCUGCCCGUAGGAAAAGUCAAAGGUAUUUAUGAUAGGAUAAUUCCUUAUUCUUAUCAUAAAUACAUUCCUAAUCAGAGAAUACCUCUUUCAAGUAAGUAAUCCUAAUCCCAUUUAUUUAGGAUAUUUACCAAAUUACUCCAAGAUAUUUGUUUACACAAAUAUCUUGGAAUAUUAUCACCCAAAAUACCACCUAGGGCCGGCCACCCCUAAACCCUAGAGG